Molecule: long non-coding RNA, 2866 nt
Filed under: Oryza brachyantha (malo sina)
Lineage: Eukaryota; Viridiplantae; Streptophyta; Magnoliopsida; Poales; Poaceae
Description: long non-coding RNA (OBRA_LNC000267)
Rfam family: MIR812 microRNA precursor family (bases 1645-1837)
Source: RNAcentral
AUAUGGAGAGCUAUCAACUUGAGACAGAGAUAAACAAAGUCACUGUGACAGGAAACGUUACCCCUGAUGAAGUAGUCAAGGCUCUGCAGAAGAUUGGGAAGACCGCAACAAACUGGGGUGAAGACUGAAGAGCUAAAUAGUAUUCCAGUAUUUUGCUAGCUAGUAUAGUUGAUGACUUGAUGUCCUUAGUCCUUACCAGGGUUACUAGGAGCUAUUUAUGCUGCAGAUAUAUGAAUACUAAUUCACAUAAAGUGAGUAAACUCGUCAUUGCUUGCUCUCGCUCAGCAGUUGACUGACGCAAUGGGCUACGUGUUGCCGUGUUACAUUACCUCCUCUGAAGCGUAUCUGAUUUGUUUACAAAAUCUUCCAGAUGAUGAGACAAAUUUUUGUACGUUUUCAUGGGAAAUAUGCAUGACAACUCUCUUUACUCAGAAAAGAACAAAGGUUAUAUGGUUCAGUUUUAUCUUAAAAUCAAAUUCUAAAAUUCAGAAUCCACUUCAGGUUGAGCGCCUUAAUUGUAUGCGUAGACCAUUUUUUCUCGAGAGAAUGAUUUGAUUUACGCAAUUCAAUCAGUGGUUGGUGCUUGUUCUUAAAAAUAAAUAAAAAGAGAAGGUUGGGACUGACGGGCCUGAAUUCUGCUGCUUCUUGCGGUUCUUGCAAACAAGAGCUGCAAAAGCAGGUUGUUGGUUGUGCUCCGCCUCCAAGCGAUACAUAUCUCUACGUACAAUGUUUGGCACUGUUUAUGGAGAGAGAGAGAAGGUUUUAGGCUGAAACCUGAAAGUCAAGCUAACACCGGGGAGUGUGACACUAUAGAUUGACCGACACUGUUCUUCGUACCUAGUAUAACCAUGCAAUUAAGCAAUCAUACAGGCGUCAGGAACUUGAGAUCGCCCAGCUGGCCCCCUCAACAAGACAACGACUCCAUUUCAUGACCGUUCAGAGCAUCCCAACAGCUCAUCCAUCUCAUCCUCCAUCCUAGAAAUAGAGGAUGAAGAGUAAAAGUUGAGCUCCAACAGAUCAUCUAUCUCAUGAUCUAUUUUUGGAUGUCAUCCAUAUUAGAAGAGAGAAACUCUAUAUUUAGAUGUUCUUUCUCCAAUCCUUCAAAUAGAUAUAGAUGAUGCCAUAUAUAGAUGAUCUGCUAGAGUACAAAGGGAUAUGAAGGAUAAGAGUGUUUUAGAUGAUCAUGCAAAUAAAGAUAUGGAUGACCAAAUUUAGAUGAGCUGUUGGGGAUGCUUUUAGUUCCUAACAAAUUUUGGCUGAGAGGUCGUAUCGGUACGUACGGUUAUAUAUUUGAUGUAUUAAACAUAGUCUAGUUAUAAAAUAAAUUUUAGAUUUCGCCUAAAAUCACGAGAGCUACCCGAACAUGUGAAUAAAAAUUUUAUAUACAUAUUCUUUGCAAUUUAAAGCAAAUGCUGGAAAAUAAACUUCGGUAAAAAUACUUUAAAAUCAACUUCAUUUUUAAAAUUAAAAAUUUAAAUCUUGAUCUAUAAACAUAAACAAAACUGAAAAGAUGGGGUGCUUAACGAGUUUCAGUAACUUCAGAGAAGGAAUUAUAGUUGGAGCCAGAUCAAAAGCAGAUUCUUAUCUGGACCACAGCGGCCUUCGGCAAUAUGGAUUGGUAGUGUACCGCUCUCUUCGUUCUAAAAUAAACCAAUUUUUUACUUUUUAUCUUUAAUUUUUGACUCUUCGUCUUAUUUAAAUUUUUUUAAUUGAUAUUUUUAUUUUUAUUAGAUGAUAAAUCAUGAAUAGUACUUUACGUGUGACUAAUUAUUUUCUAAUUUUCUAAAAAAAUUUAAAAUAAGACGGAUGAUCAAACGUUGGACAUAGAAACAAACAGAGAAUUCGUUUUUUUCUAGAGGGAGUACACCUUUUCAAGAAUGAAAUGUAUAAACAAAGUGAAUAUAUGCUGUAGCUGUAUGUGCUUUUGUUUUCACGGUGGAGAACAAAAGUUGCUCUUGCUUGCAGAAAGGAGGAAAGUACGGUCACAGCUAUUUAAGCUUCGGAACAGAGAGACACACAUACACAGAUACACUUCGAAGCUGGGUGUGCUUGUGAAGUACACAGUAGAGCAGUCAAUCUCCUGCUCUACUCUCCAAAACACCAGCCAUGGCUGUAAGUUUUAUAUACGUUCUCAUGUGUACGCAUCAAUUCUGUAUAUGUAUUAGUUGUCACUCAUAAUGCUUCUCCACAACAAGAGCCUGAUUUUUUUCCCUUUUUUUUUGUGCGACAGGUGGUGGAGUUGAAGGUUGGGAUGCACUGCGACAGGUGCAUCAAGGCGAUUAAGAAGGCAAUUAAAAAGAUCGACGGUAGGCCUGUUGUUCCGCUGAACCAGUCAUUGUUAUACGGCACAAAACAUGCAGUUCAGCACUUGUAUCAUAUGGUUGCAUAAUCAUCCGUGCUUCCUGUGUAAAAAUGCACAGAUAUGGAGAGCUAUCAACUUGAGACAGAGAUAAACAAAGUCACUGUGACAGGAAACGUUACCCCUGAUGAAGUAGUCAAGGCUCUGCAGAAGAUUGGGAAGACCGCAACAAACUGGGGUGAAGACUGAAGAGCUAAAUAGUAUUCCAGUAUUUUGCUAGCUAGUAUAGUUGAUGACUUGAUGUCCUUAGUCCUUACCAGGGUUACUAGGAGCUAUUUAUGCUGCAGAUAUAUGAAUACUAAUUCACAUAAAGUGAGUAAACUCGUCAUUGCUUGCUCUCGCUCAGCAGUUGACUGACGCAAUGGGCUACGUGUUGCCGUGUUACAUUACCUCCUCUGAAGCGUAUCUGAUUUGUUUACAAAAUCUUCCAGAUGAUGAGACAAAUUUUUGUACGUUUUCAUGGGAAAUAUGCAUGACAACUCUCUUUACUCAGAAAAGAACAAAGGU